This 252-nucleotide ribosomal RNA is filed under the name uncultured bacterium. RNAcentral's name for it is "partial 16S ribosomal RNA". It matches the Rfam family "Bacterial small subunit ribosomal RNA", at positions 524 to 776 of the family's 1533-position model. The record is from RNAcentral.
UACGUAGGGGCUAGACGUUGUCCGGAUUAUUGGGCGUAAAGAGCUCGUAGGCGGUUUGUCGCGUCGGGAGUGAAAACUCAGGGCUCAACCCUGAGCGUGCUUCCGAUACGGGCAGACUAGAGGUAUGCAGGGGAGAACGGAAUUCCUGGUGUAGCGGUGGAAUGCGCAGAUAUCAGGAGGAACACCGGUGGCGAAGGCGGUUCUCUGGGCAUUACCUGACGCUGAGGAGCGAAAGCAUGGGGAGCGAACAGG